GACGAACGCUGGCGGCGUGCCUAAUACAUGCAAGUAGAACGCUGAAGCGAGGAGCUUGCUCUUCUUGGAUGAGUUGCGAACGGGUGAGUAACGCGUAGGUAACCUGCCUUUUAGCGGGGGAUAACUAUUGGAAACGAUAGCUAAUACCGCAUAACAAUGGAUGACACAUGUCCUUUAUUUUAAAGGGGCAAUUGCUCCACUACAAGAUGGACCUGCGUUGUAUUAGCUAGUAGGUUAGGUAAUGGCUCACCUAGGCGACGAUACAUAGCCGACCUGAGAGGGUGAUCGGCCACACUGGGAAUGAGAAACGGCACAGACUCCUAAGGGAGGCAGCAGUAGGGAAACUUGGGAAAUGGGGGCAAACCUGACCGAGCAACGCCGCGGGAGUGAAGAAGGUUUUCGGAUCGUAAAGCUCCGUUGUAAGUCAAGAGAGGGUGUGAGAGUGGAAAGUUCACACUGUGACGGUAGCUUACCAGAAAGGGACGGCUAACUACGUG
Molecule: ribosomal RNA, 497 nt
Filed under: uncultured bacterium
Lineage: Bacteria
Description: partial 16S ribosomal RNA
Rfam family: Bacterial small subunit ribosomal RNA
Source: RNAcentral